AUUCACCCAAUUGAACAUCAUUUUUCCAUGCAAGAGACAAGUUUGUUAUGUUAAGCUCCACUCUUUCAUUCCCAACCCAAGAAAAAAGAAGAGGAAAAGCCAACUUAAGAGCAACAAGUUGUUUAGAAAAUAAUGAUUAUUUGUAGAAGAGAAAUAUUACGUGUGUGGGAAUUCAUAUGCAAGCAACUUCUUGGCAGCUUCAUAUAUCCUUUCAUCUCCCCCUCCCCCCCAAACCGCCCUCAAAAAAAAAAAAAA
RNAcentral lists this long non-coding RNA (255 nucleotides) under Gossypium raimondii (Peruvian cotton). RNAcentral's name for it is "long non-coding RNA (GRAI_LNC009784)". The record is from RNAcentral. Lineage: Eukaryota; Viridiplantae; Streptophyta; Magnoliopsida; Malvales; Malvaceae.